CAGCAGCCACGGGAAUACGUAGGGUGCAAGCGUUAAUCGGAAUUACUGGGCGUAAAGCGUGCGCAGGCGGUUAUAUAAGUCAGAUGUGAAAUCCCCGGGCUCAACCUGGGAACUGCAUUUGAGACUGUAUGGCUAGAGUGUGUCAGAGGGGGGUGGAAUUCCACGUGUAGCAGUGAAAUGCGUAGAGAUGUGGAGGAAUACCGAUGGCGAAGGCAGCCCCCUGGGCCAAUACUGACGCUCAUGCACGAAAGCGUGGGGAGCAAACAGGAUUAGAUACCCCUGUAGUCCCUGUCUCUUAUAC
This 301-nucleotide ribosomal RNA is filed under the name uncultured bacterium. RNAcentral describes it as "partial 16S ribosomal RNA". It matches the Rfam family "Bacterial small subunit ribosomal RNA", at positions 509 to 807 of the family's 1533-position model. The record is from RNAcentral.